CCAGAGAAUUGCCCUGGGGAUCAGUUAAGUCCUGCUACAUUUUUUUCUGCCAGAAAUUUGCUUAUUCCCCCUUGGGGUGAGCACUUCAAAGGCCCAGAGGAUACUUCAAAAGACUGGAGGCUCCUCCCUGCUGGGUGUGAAGCUGGCGGAGGUGUGGGCCCUGGAAAUCCCUGAGCACACAGCCCUGCCCGCGGGUGGGCAGGACGCCCCCGGGCAGGGGGCUGUGCGGAUGUGGACACCAGCAGGUUCUGAUCCAGACCCCAAAAUCCCCUCCUGUCCAGCUGCGGGAGGAGAGAGGAGCCCUGCAGGACAGGAAGGGCAGUGAGCGAGGGGCCCCCCCCCGCAACCUGGCCCGGCUACGUCUGCACUUUAGCUUUCACCCCCCGCUGGCCCCAGCUGGCUCUGUCCCCAUGGACACAGGGCACCGCAGCCGCAUCUUCCAGGAGCUGCCCAACUCCUGCAAUCUGGGAAAAAGUUCCCGUCCCUGAUCCCUGGACUCUCGGGCAGCUUUAGCUCUGGAGUUUCCAUCAGUGAAAUAUUUGCUUUUCCUCGACUCGUCUAAAACGAACUAACAAAUGUGCCUAACAUCCUCUCUUUGAGUCCUUCUGGGAGAAAUUCUGAAAUAUGAAAGGGAGCUGUGUCACAACAGGGGAUGUGGGACAUCAUUAAGAAUAGACAGCCCUAAAAAGCCACCAUUGACCACAAAUGGAAUUGCCAUGUUCCCUUUAAAUGUAAGCAUGUUUUUCUCAUCUCACGGAUAAACACUGGAGAUGUCUCAUGUUCCCAGGGUCAUUCAGAGGGGCCGACCUUUCAUCUAAAAGGACCAGGGAACCGACUCCGGCCGCCUGCCCGGGAAAGAGCUGGAAUUAUUUGUCUGCUGUCAGGAAACAAAAGCCCCCUCAUCACCCAGCUUUUACGCUGAAGGUCUCCAGGAAUAGGAAAUACCUGCUUGUUUAUUUCUUGACCUAUGACUGCUGCAUCUGUAGUUUAGCUCUGAGAAUAAAAGGAAAAUAAAAUA
This is a long non-coding RNA of Lemur catta (Ring-tailed lemur), 1018 nucleotides long. RefSeq lists it as uncharacterized. NCBI's taxonomy places the organism in Eukaryota, Metazoa, Chordata, Mammalia, Primates, Lemuridae. The transcript is spliced from 2 exons. The record is from RefSeq and is a predicted model, not a curated record.